GUUAAAGGGAGGUCUCUGUACUAGUCAAGCCAGACACUCUUUAGGUGGCUGACUUGGCUUACGCAGGAGUCUGGGGGAAAAGCCUCCCAUGGAACCUAAUGAUCAAAAUAAGCAAAGGAUUCAACUGUCAGUUUAUUACACCCUGACUAACUGGGGAGAAGGGGCACUUUGAAGAAGACGUUGGAAGUUGUUCCAAGAGUGGCCACCAGCAUGAAGGGAGAAGAUGCUGUUAAGUUCAUGCUAUACAAAUAGAGAAGUUUAGAUAAAAACAUAAAAUAGUAUUGCUGGAAGAUUGCAGUAUAUAGCUCCUUUAAUUCAUAGAAUCCAGAACAAUAACACACAGUAACCAAACCC
Long non-coding RNA from Chelonia mydas (Green sea turtle), 354 nucleotides. RefSeq lists it as uncharacterized. The record is from RefSeq and is a predicted model, not a curated record. NCBI's taxonomy places the organism in Eukaryota, Metazoa, Chordata, Testudines, Cheloniidae. The transcript is spliced from 3 exons.